GAAUAAAGUUUAGCAACUCCUUUUUCUUGGUAAUAGAAAUAAUAUUGAGGGGAGAAAAAAGUAAGCAUAUAAAUGUACUGGAGAGGCGAUGAGGGAAAUUAGGACACGAAUAGCGUAUUUAAAGAGAAAAAUUCGCAACGAAAAACAUAUUCCUCCACUCGUUUGAUUUGCAGUUCCUGACAGAAUGGAAAGUUCAGCUUCGACGAGCAAUGAAUAUAAAAAACAACGAAAUGUUGUUCCACGUCGAUUAUUCGACCCCGAAUUUCUUACAUCAUGUAAAAGAAAGAAUCUCACUACGAAAGAACUAAUCAAUAUAUUUGCCAAUGGAUUUUAUCCACUCCAGUGAAAAACAGGCUACACACAAUAUGUUUUUUUUAAUAAUUUUUUGUAUGUAUAUUUUUGAAUGCUAUGU
This 412-nucleotide unclassified non-coding RNA is filed under the name Stegodyphus dumicola. RNAcentral's name for it is "uncharacterized LOC118195869, transcript variant X1". Lineage: Eukaryota; Metazoa; Arthropoda; Arachnida; Araneae; Eresidae. The record is from RNAcentral.